RNAcentral lists this ribosomal RNA (297 nucleotides) under uncultured bacterium. RNAcentral describes it as "partial 16S ribosomal RNA". It matches the Rfam family "Bacterial small subunit ribosomal RNA", at positions 333 to 649 of the family's 1533-position model. The record is from RNAcentral.
UGAUCUACGGGAGUCAGCAGUGGGGAACAUUGCACAAUGGGGGAAACCCUGAUGCAGCAACGCCGCGUGAGUGUAGAAGUCAUUCGUGAUGUAAAGCUCUAUCAGCAGGGAAGAAAAUGACGGUACCUGAGUAAGAAGCCCCGGCUAACUACGUGCCAGCAGACGCGGUAAUACGUAGGGGGCAAGCGUUAUCCGGAUUUACUGGGUGUAAAGGGAGCGUAGACGGCAAGGCAAGUCUGAAGUGAAAAUCCAGCGCUUAACGUUGGAAGUGCGUUGGAAACUGCCGGGCUAGAGCGC